This 431-nucleotide ribosomal RNA is filed under the name Helisoma anceps. Its description in RNAcentral is "partial 16S ribosomal RNA". It matches the Rfam family "Bacterial large subunit ribosomal RNA", at positions 1828 to 2597 of the family's 2925-position model. Lineage: Eukaryota; Metazoa; Mollusca; Gastropoda; Planorbidae. The record is from RNAcentral.
AGUUUAAAGCAACUAUUUUAAAUGUACCCUGCCCAGUGAUUUUUUAAAUGGCCGCAGUACCUUGACUGUGCUAAGGUAGCAUAAUCAAUUGGCUUUUAAUUAAAGUCUGGAAUGAAUGGAAUUAUGAAAUUAAGACUGUCUUAUAAGUAUUAAUAUAAACUUAUUUAUCAGGUGAAAAUACCUGUAAGCAGAAAAAAGACGAGAAGACCCUUAGAGUUUUUACUAUAAUAUACUACUAAUGUUUUUGUUGGGGCGACAAGUAAACAAACUUAACUUUACGUUAUAUUAUAUUACGAUUUUUAUAAAUAAAUUUUAAACUACCUGAGGGAUAACAGCAUUAUCAAAUAAUUAGAUUGUGACCUCGAUGUUGGACUAGGAACUUUAUGGCUAACCGUCAAAAUAGAUUUGUUCUGUUCGAACAAUAAUAUCCU